Molecule: ribosomal RNA, 389 nt
Filed under: uncultured bacterium
Lineage: Bacteria
Description: bacterial SSU rRNA
Rfam family: Bacterial small subunit ribosomal RNA
Source: RNAcentral
AUUGAACGCUGGCGGCAUGCCUUACACAUGCAAGUCGAACGGCAGCACGGGAGCUUGCUCCUGGUGGCGAGUGGCGAACGGGUGAGUAAUACAUCGGAACGUACCCUGAAGUGGGGGAUAACGUAGCGAAAGUUACGCUAAUACCGCAUAUUCUGUGAGCAGGAAAGAGGGGGAUCGCAAGACCUCUUGCUUUAGGAGCGGCCGAUGUCGGAUUAGCUAGUUGGUGAGGUAAAGGCUUACCAAGGCGACGAUCUGUAGCGGGUCUGAGAGGAUGGUCCGCCACACUGGAACUGAGACACGGUCCAGACUCCUACGGGAGGCAGCAGUGGGGAAUUUUGGACAAUGGGGGCAACCCUGAUCCAGCCAUGCCGCGUGAGUGAAGAUGGCCU